UGGGGAAUUGUUCGCAAUGGGCGCAAGCCUGACGACGCAACGCCGCGUGGAGGAUGAAGACCUUCGGGUCGUAAACUCCUUUCGAUCGAGACGAAUGGCCUCCGGGUGAACAAUCCGGAGGAGUGACGGUACCGAGAGAAGAAGCACCGGCUAACUCCGUGCCAGCAGCCGCGGUAAUACGGAGGGUGCGAGCGUUAAUCGGAAUUACUGGGCGUAAAGCGUGCGUAGGCGGCCCGCCAAGCCAGAUGUGAAAGCCCUGGGCUCAACCUGGGGACGGCAUUUGGAACGGGCGGGCUAGAGUUGGGUAGAGGGGGGCGGAAUUCCGGGUGUAGCGGUGAAAUGCGUAGAUAUCCGGAGGAACACCAGUGGCGAAGGCGGCCCCCUGGACCCAAACUGACGCUGAGGUACGAAAGCGUGGGUAGCAAACAGGAUUAGAUACCCAUGUAGUCCCUGAGCGGGCUGGCAAGGCGCAU
This 473-nucleotide ribosomal RNA is filed under the name uncultured bacterium. Its description in RNAcentral is "bacterial SSU rRNA". It matches the Rfam family "Bacterial small subunit ribosomal RNA", at positions 355 to 825 of the family's 1533-position model. The record is from RNAcentral.